Pseudophryne corroboree (corroboree frog) is the source of this 501-nucleotide long non-coding RNA. RefSeq lists it as uncharacterized. The transcript has 3 exons. NCBI's taxonomy places the organism in Eukaryota, Metazoa, Chordata, Amphibia, Anura, Myobatrachidae. The record is from RefSeq and is a predicted model, not a curated record.
AAUUCCCAUUCUGCUGUGUUUGUAUAUAAAAGGACCAGUUUCCAGCUACAGUAUUCACUCAUCUUCUAAACCUACCUGUAACUGACUUCUCACAAGAAGGACACAGAUCAUCCAGUAACCGGUCAUGUCUGGAAUCAAGGGAGGAAAAUGUGGCCAGAAGAUCCAAUGUCAGGAUCCUUGCAAGGACCCAUGCCAAAGGCCACCUGUCUGUGUAGAUCCUUGUCAGGACCCAUGUAAACCUCGUCCACAGCACCAUCAUCAUUAUGGACUUCGCCAACAAGAUCCAUGCAACCCCUGUUGUCCUGAUCCUUGCCAGGGCCAAGGGAAUUUUUGCUGUGAUAAAUGAAGACAUUUCAUCUGACUUUAUGCCUUUGCAUGCCUUACUUUAUGUCACUACAAAUGAACCCUCAUUUAUCUUCUUUAAAUCUGCAUUACUAAAUUCUGCACCUGUGUGAUGCUUGCUUAUGUAUACUGUUACCCAAUAAAAUGGUAUUAACCCUA